UGUUCAGGGCGGGGUGCGAUUCCCCACCGGUGGUGAUGGGCCUUCGGGCCACGAGUCCACGAGCUCGAGUAACGCGGGGCAGAAUCGGUGCGAACCCGAUACCGACGGUAUAGUCCGGAUGAAAGAACA
This 129-nucleotide non-coding RNA is filed under the name bovine gut metagenome. RNAcentral describes it as "FMN riboswitch (RFN element)". It matches the Rfam family "FMN riboswitch aptamer (RFN element)". Rfam says of the family: The RFN element is a highly conserved domain that is found frequently in the 5'-untranslated regions of prokaryotic mRNAs that encode for flavin mononucleotide (FMN) biosynthesis and transport proteins. The record is from RNAcentral.